RNAcentral lists this ribosomal RNA (432 nucleotides) under uncultured bacterium. RNAcentral's name for it is "bacterial SSU rRNA". It matches the Rfam family "Bacterial small subunit ribosomal RNA", at positions 338 to 785 of the family's 1533-position model. The record is from RNAcentral.
CCUACGGGGGGCAGCAGUGGGGAAUAUUGGGCAAUGGGCGCAAGCCUGACCCAGCAACGCCGCGUGAAGGAAGAAGGCUUUCGGGUUGUAAACUUCUUUUAAGGGGGAAGAGCAGAAGACGGUACCCCUUGAAUAAGCCACGGCUAACUACGUGCCAGCAGCCGCGGUAAUACGUAGGUGGCAAGCGUUGUCCGGAUUUACUGGGUGUAAAGGGCGUGCAGCCGGGACUGCAAGUCAGAUGUGAAAUCCGCGGGCUUAACCCGCGAACUGCAUUUGAAACUGCGGAUCUUGAGUACCGGAGAGGUUAUCGGAAUUCCUUGUGUAGCGGUGAAAUGCGUAGAUAUAAGGAAGAACACCAGUGGCGAAGGCGGAUAACUGGACGGCAACUGACGGUGAGGCGCGAAAGCGUGGGGAGCAAACAGGAUUAGAUAC